GCCUGGGUGGCUCAGUCCAUUAAGCAUCUGACUUCAGCUCAGGUCAUGAUCUCACGGUUUGUGGGUUCAAGCCCCACAUCAGGCU
Molecule: transfer RNA, 85 nt
Filed under: Felis catus (domestic cat)
Lineage: Eukaryota; Metazoa; Chordata; Mammalia; Carnivora; Felidae
Also listed under: 3 other names
Rfam family: tRNA
About the family: Transfer RNA (tRNA) molecules are approximately 80 nucleotides in length. Their secondary structure includes four short double-helical elements and three loops (D, anti-codon, and T loops). Further hydrogen bonds mediate the characteristic L-shaped molecular structure. tRNAs have two regions of fundamental functional importance: the anti-codon, which is responsible for specific mRNA codon recognition, and the 3' end, to which the tRNAs corresponding amino acid is attached (by aminoacyl-tRNA synthetases). tRNAs cope with the degeneracy of the genetic code in two manners: having more than one tRNA (with a specific anti-codon) for a particular amino acid; and 'wobble' base-pairing, i.e. permitting non-standard base-pairing at the 3rd anti-codon position.
Source: Rfam by way of RNAcentral